UAUAAGAACUUAAACCGCAAC
This 21-nucleotide small nuclear RNA is filed under the name Arabidopsis thaliana (thale cress). Its description in RNAcentral is "snRNA_13222". The record is from RNAcentral. Lineage: Eukaryota; Viridiplantae; Streptophyta; Magnoliopsida; Brassicales; Brassicaceae.